UAUAUCGGAACGUGCCCAGUCGUGGGGGAUAACGUAGAGAAAUUUACGCUAAUACCGCAUACGAUCUAAGGAUGAAAGCGGGGGACUUCGCAAGAGGCCUCGCGCGAUUGGAGCGGCUGAUAUCAGAUUAGGUUGUUGGUGAGGUAAAAGCUCACCAAGCCGACGAUCUGUAGCUGGUUUGAGAGAACGACCAGCCACACUGGGACUGAGACACGGCCCAG
RNAcentral lists this ribosomal RNA (221 nucleotides) under uncultured bacterium. Its description in RNAcentral is "partial 16S ribosomal RNA". It matches the Rfam family "Bacterial small subunit ribosomal RNA", at positions 114 to 334 of the family's 1533-position model. The record is from RNAcentral.